RNAcentral lists this ribosomal RNA (492 nucleotides) under uncultured bacterium. Its description in RNAcentral is "partial 16S ribosomal RNA". It matches the Rfam family "Bacterial small subunit ribosomal RNA", at positions 29 to 506 of the family's 1533-position model. The record is from RNAcentral.
ACGAACGCUGGCGGCGUGCUUAACACCUGCAAGUCGAACGGAAAGGCCUGCUUUCCCUUGUGGAUUGCGGGUACUCGAGUGGCGAACGGGUGAGUAACACGUGAGUGAUCUGCCCCCAACUUGGGUAUAAGCCUGGGAAACUGGGUCUAAUUCCCGAUAGGACUGCAGGGUGGUGCCUGUGGUGGAAAACGAUUUUCUAGUGGUUGGGGAUGAGCUCGCGGCCUAUCAGCUUGUUGGUGGGGUAAUGGCCUACCAAGGCGGCGACGGGUAGCCGGCCUGAGAGGGUGGACGGCCACAUUGGGACUGAGAUACGGCCCAGACUCCUACGGGAGGCAGCAGUGGGGAAUAUUGCACAAUGGGCGGAAGCCUGAUGCAGCGACGCCGCGUGGGGGAUGACGGCCUUCGGGUUGUAAACUCCUUUCGACCGCGAGGAAGCCACCUGGUUGGAAGGGUGGUGACGGUAGUGGUAGAAGAAGCACCGGCUAACUACGU